This is a non-coding RNA of Phascolarctos cinereus (koala), 681 nucleotides long. Lineage: Eukaryota; Metazoa; Chordata; Mammalia; Diprotodontia; Phascolarctidae. The record is from RefSeq and is a predicted model, not a curated record.
UCCAUGGCAUAGCUUAUGGUCUCAUUUGAGCUACACCAGUCUCUCUGCCUUGACAAAGCAGUGAUCCAGGACAGGAUUACCUGUGUGACCUUGACCGCUUGGGGCCUCAGCUUCUUCAUCUUUAAGAUGAGAUAUCCUGUGGAGAUAUCCAGCAACUUACACAUAAAAGCUUGGGAGCUUUCUGUACAGAAAAUCAAAUUCAUGGGAGCAAAAGAGCUCAUCAUUCUGUUUAGUCUUCCCACUCCAUAACAUUUAAUGUGCCUGGUAGAGUUUGACUCAAUGUCUGAUAAGCUUCAUGUUAUAUGUAAGUGGAUCACCUUUUGUCAAAACUCUCCACUAUGACCUGUCCAUCUUAGAUCUGUUUUGACUCUACAUGAAAUUGUGGACUACUGCCAAGGUUCUGCAACUUCUAGCUACAAGGCUCACAGGAAUACAGGAGAAGAGGAAAGGAUUCAGUAGAUGUCAUCAUUUAUUAAGUGAAGCAAGAUCAAUCACCACUGUACAAGCCCUCAAGUAGAGCUGUGGCCAGGUUGGAAGACUAUGGCUACGGAAUAUUGUGUAUACUAUCAUUCUUGAUUGAUGUCUUUUUCUGAACUCCUUUGGGGAAAAAAAAAAGACAGACCUUUGUUUUGGGGAGAAGUUUGGGGUCAUUAAAAGAGCUCUGUAGUUUCCUAAAGGCAA